UUCAUCCUCAGAUACCUUAGCCUCCACCUUGUCUGGGAACAGCAUGUGCCAUCUUGGAGUUCCAUUAAUGGAGUGAGCAAGGCCCUAGGACCUGUGCUUCCAGCUAGCCUGGUGCAACCUGAGCAUGAAAGGGAGCAGAAGAACGCAAGAUGGUUCAGGAGCACCAGCUUUGCUCUGCUGUUUAGCCCUCUCUCAGCACAGAUCUUGGGUGGACACCAGAGGUUUUCUGGAGGAUGGUCCAUGAAGCUGGGCUGUAUUUGAUGGGAACUGGGCCAGACGAGCAGGUCAUUAGCCAAUGACUGCUCCAUCGAUAUGCCAGGACCAGAUGAGAGAGGCCAAGUCACCUCAGCCAUGAAGUGGAGCUGAAGUGCAUCAGGUGCAAGCCCUGUGGGGAGAGGCAGCAGACAGCCUCCACCCUGUGACCACUGGGCGUCUAUCCAUGGAGUGUUUCUGGAAAACAUGGACAGACAAGUUUUACUAGUAUUUCAAC
This 490-nucleotide long non-coding RNA is filed under the name Bos indicus x Bos taurus (hybrid cattle). Its description in RNAcentral is "lncRNA (ENSBIXG00005028869.1)". The record is from RNAcentral. Lineage: Eukaryota; Metazoa; Chordata; Mammalia; Artiodactyla; Bovidae.